GCACUCCAGCGGAGCAGAGCAGAGCAACUAAAACUAGUCAAAGUCUAUCCAUUACACUAUUUGAUUUCAUUUCCAAUUCAGUUUCGGUUCGAAUGCGGAUUUUGUUUUGAUUGUGUUGACCGUUAACCCGUGCUCCGAAAGCCCGUUAAAGAACCGCAAAAGCAAAAAGGAGCAGAAAGAGAAACAAAAGGCAAACGCAGAGUAGACGGAACUAGCACACACGAUCCAGCAAAAAUGGCGCAACCAUUGAAAUUCUACUUUGAUUUCCUGAACCAAUCCAGUCGGGCACUCUACAUAUUCCUGGAGGCCUCCAAGAUACCGUUCGAGGCGAUACCCAUAUCGAUGCUCAAAGGCGAACACUUGACGGGUGAAUUUCGGGACAAGGUGAACCGAUUCCGAAAGCUGCCAGCGAUCACCGACCAUGGCUACCAGCUGUCGGAGAAUGUGGCCAUCUUUCGGCAUUUGGCGCGGGAGAAGCUCGUGCCGGAGCACUGGUAUCCGCGGAGACAGCUCGGACGCAGCCGCAUCGACGAGUACUUGGCCUGGCAGCAAACGAACAUGGAUGUGGCCUGCACGGACUACUUCCAGCAGAAGUGGCUGGUGCCGUAUCUGCAAAAGACGCGUCCAACGGAGAAUGCGGUGAAUGUCGCUGGCAAGCAGCUGGAGCACACGCUCAAUGAUUUCGAGCAGCUCUUCCUCAACUCGCGCAAAUUCAUGAUGGGUGACAACAUCUCGUUUGCCGAUCUCAGUGCCAUCUGUGAGAUCGAUCAGCCCAAGUCCAUUGGCUACAAUGCCUUCCAGAAUCGCAACAAGUUGGCGCGCUGGUACGAGGCUGUGCGCGACGAGCUGGGCCCCUACUACAAGGACGUUCACGGGGAGUUCGAGGCCAAGCUGAAGCAGAGCGGCAGUAGCAAUCAGGGCGUGGCCCAUGCCCUGAAGCAGUAAAGAGAGCCAGCCGCCCCAGGCCCCAAAACCACCACAAAACUUGAUUAGUUUUAACGAUUAUUAAUUAUUAAUUAUCUUUUUUUUUCUUAUCUUCUGAUCGAUCACUCCCUACACUUUCCUACCCCUUUGCCUAUCCCUUUUCCUGCAUAUAUCUAUGAUCUACUAUAUAGUUUUUAGUUGUUAAAUAUCUUAAUUAUCCAUACAUAAAGUACGCUUACAAUUGUUUAACCAAAA
RNA transcript from Drosophila subobscura, 1179 nucleotides. It is a transcript of the gene named glutathione S-transferase theta-3, with no coding region annotated. The transcript has 5 exons. The record is from RefSeq and is a predicted model, not a curated record. NCBI's taxonomy places the organism in Eukaryota, Metazoa, Arthropoda, Insecta, Diptera, Drosophilidae.